AGUGAGAAGCGCCACCUUCAAGUGAACGUCACCAACCCGGUGCAGUGCAGCCUGCAUGGGAAGAAAUGCACCGUAUCCGUGGAGACCCGGCUUAACCAGCCACAGCCUGACUUCACCAAGAACCGCUCCGGCUUCAUCCUCAGUGUGCCCGGGAAUUGACUGCUGCACACCGGAGGCCUGGCCCAGGGGAGCAAGAGCCUGGGCCUGGCACACAGCAGGCCAGGUCCUCGGCCUCGCCAUCCCCACAUCUGUUCCACCUCGCUCAACAUCCCAGGAGCUCGGCUAAUCGCUGUUUGCCCUCUAAUGCCACUAGAAAUCAGCUUGCAAGGGCCUCCGCUGGGCAGGACUCCUCUGCCUUUUCUGUGGCCCUGCUCAUGACCUGUCCUACCUGGCUUUCUGCCUCUGCCCUGCCUCUGCUCUCUCAACUUUCCAUACUCCCUGCUCAGGAAACCAAAGACCCUCUUCAGCCUGCUGGGCUGACAGCUAGACCACUUCCCACCCCAAGCGACUGGAUGGCUCCUGUAGUUGGCAGGAGUGCAGUGGCCACUGCUGACCCCAGCAGAGGGAUGAGAGGCCCGGAGCCCAGGACGCAGUUUCUGGAUCCAAAGCCACAUUAUCUUAGAGGUUUGGAUCCAGCAUCCGUGGGCAGAGGGAUUGGCCCUGCUUUGUGACCCCUACCUGAUGCCUCCUUCCACAACAUGAUUGCAGCCCUUAGAACCUAGCUCAGAGCCCCUCAGCACAAGCCCCGCCCCCAGCAGCCAGCCAAAGCCACUGGGUGAGCGGGUACAUCUGCGGAGCCCAUCCCUCAGCCUCGAUCAACCAGGAUCCCUCCUUCCCAGAGCCUGUCCCUGGGAGAGCUUUUGCCACCAAGGUUCUAGCCCUGGACUUUCUAACCACUUCUCUCAUGGAGACACCCUGCUGCUACUCCAAGGACCAGUUUGCUUAACUCACAGCCCACAUCCAUGGUCAUCUUAACCUUCUUUCCUGCAGAUUGCCAGGUUGCUAAUCUGCUGUCCCCUCUGCUGUAAGCACAGUGUCAGGACCUAGUGAGGAGGUACAAGGAGCAGGCCGUGCUUGGAGUGCCCAUUCCCCCUAACCCUCUGGCUGCGCCUCCUCCUCACUGGAGACCCGGAACUCUGAGAGAGCCAAAGCACACAGGACCCAGCAGUGUGGGUUAGACAAAGCUGCAGCUAAGAUCGGGGAGUCCUGGCACUGCAGGCCAGGCCAGGGUCCCCACCUAAGCCACAUAAUCUGCCUGCCGGAGCCUGGCCCCCGAGCCCCCUCCUGGGAAAGUGCUGCCCAUUUGCCAGUGUCUGCCCAGGAGGAAGGGCAUCUGCUUCAGAGGCCUUCCUGAGACCCCUGCUCCCAGCCUCAGCUGGUAAGGCCUCUGGGUGGCACAGGCUUGCUGUGGGGAAGCCCAACACGGAAAGUUUGCAAGAGGCGAGAGGUUUGUAGGAGGCGAGCGAGCCACAGCGCUUUCAGAGCCAGGCUCACAUUUUCUUCACUUUUGACCCGACUCUGCUCCCUAAUUCUCACCCUGCCACCCUAACCCACCAAGUGCCUAUGCGCUACCUCCUGUGCCUUGGCCCGGGCCUGAGGGAGUCACCUGGCUGGCCACGGUGGUUCCAGCACCUGGUCUCCUAACCCUUUUGCAGAGCUGUGGGGACAGGGACGUUUACACUGCAGGCAGUUUGCAACAAAACUCCUGUUGCCAUGCUGCCCUCGAGAGGCGUUCUCAUCCCCCAAGCCUGGUGAGCUGCCAGUUGUGCGGACCUGACGGAACCACGUGACUGGAACCACGUGACUGGAACCACGUGACUGGAACUUCACCUUCCCACCCCACUUACCGCCCCAGCGUGUUGCGUUACACUAGACAUGCUAAGUGUGUUCAUACACACCAAAGCAGUUAUGCCAAAAGAGUCGCGGGUCAGAAGGGAUGGCUCCCCUCCCACCCUCUGAUGUAGUCUGGGACCCCUGGCCCAGGCCAGCACCUCCCACUGAGGGCUGCCCUGUCCACGAGCACUUUCUUAUGUCCUAAAAGUCAGCGUGUGGCCACUGAAGGACCUGGAAUUAGAGGUGUGGAUGAUCACAGUAAGAGCUCGGGAGAGGACACAGUGAUUGUAUGCAUGGAGUAGGGGUCUCUUGAGUUCAUGAAAUGCAGUUUAUGGUUUGGUGCAUAUAUUCCUAUUUUCCAUUAAAUUAACUUUAUUUCUAAAGCAUAUUUUGAUUUACCAUCAAGAGCAAUAAAGCAUUAAAUCUUAUUUUAAA
RNAcentral lists this long non-coding RNA (2268 nucleotides) under Rattus norvegicus (Norway rat). RNAcentral's name for it is "long non-coding RNA NONRATT005775". The record is from RNAcentral. Lineage: Eukaryota; Metazoa; Chordata; Mammalia; Rodentia; Muridae.